UAAUACAGAGGUCUCAAGCGUUGUUCGGAAUCACUGGGCGUAAAGGGUGCGUAGGCGGCACGGUAAGUCAGAGGUGAAAUCCCGGAGCUCAACUUCGGAAUUGCCUCCGAUACUGCCGUGCUUGAGGACUGGAGAGGAGAUUGGAAUUCACAGUGGAGCAGUGAAAUGCGUAGAUAUUGUGAGGAACACUAGUGGCGAAGGCGAAUCUCUGGACAGUUCCUGACGCUGAGGCACGAAGGCCAGGGGAGCAAACGGGAUUAGAUACCCCGGUAGUCCUGGCAGUAAACGGUGCACGCUUGGUGUGGCGGGAUUCGACCCCCGCCGUGCCGGAGCUAACGCGUUAAGCGUGCCGCCUGGGAAGUACGGUCGCAAGAUUA
RNAcentral lists this ribosomal RNA (377 nucleotides) under uncultured bacterium. Its description in RNAcentral is "bacterial SSU rRNA". It matches the Rfam family "Bacterial small subunit ribosomal RNA", at positions 521 to 896 of the family's 1533-position model. The record is from RNAcentral.